AAUGAACGCUGGCGGCAGGCCUAACACAUGCAAGUCGAGCGAGAGGCGGACGGGUGAGUAAUGUAGGGGGAUCUGGCUGAUAGAGGGGGAUAACUACUGGAAAAGGUGGCAAAUACCGCAUAAUAUCGGAUGAACCCAUAUGGGAUUAGCUAGCAGGUGGGGUAAAGGCUCACCUAGGCGACGAUGUCUAGCUGGUCUGAGAGGAUGAUCAGCCACACUGGGACUGAGACACGGCCCCGACUCCUACGGGAGGCAGCAGUGGGGAAUAUUGCGCAAUGGGCGCAAGCCUGAUGCAGCCAUGCCGCGUGUGUGAAGAAGGUCUUAGGUUUGUAAAGUACUUUCAUCGGGGAGGCGUUACCCACAGAAGAAGCACCGGCUAACUCCGUGCCAGCAGCCGCGGUAAUUC
Molecule: ribosomal RNA, 406 nt
Filed under: uncultured bacterium
Lineage: Bacteria
Description: partial 16S ribosomal RNA
Rfam family: Bacterial small subunit ribosomal RNA
Source: RNAcentral